UCGAUUAGCCUACCCCGCAAGGCCCCUUCCUUCCUUCCUCUCAAUACACCAACCAAACAAUAUAUCUAUAUCUAUAUUUAUAUUUAUAUUUAUAUCAUUACCCAACUUUAGCAGCUGAAUCAACAACACCACCACCAACUGCUUCGUGUCCAUUCCAUGUGUCCGAUGCCGACAUCUCUUUUGUUUCCAAAAUUCCAGAAAACCCCAUCUCCUAUUUUGCCUCCAACAAAACCCCCCCAAAAACAUAAAUCAAAGAAAUGAAUCCUUUUCUUAUGAACUGAAGCUUCAUUAAUGGGUUAUUUCUGAGUUGUUUUUGGCUGUUGGAGCAAUGGGGUUUUGGAUUAUUUUGCUCUUUUUGUCAUUUAUUCCGGCGGCGAUUCCGGCGGAAGAUGCUAGAAUUGUUGUUGACACAAGCUCGGCUGUCGCCGAAACCGACGAUAAUUAUAUUUGUGCCACCAUUGAUUGGUGGCCGCAAGAUAAGUGUAAUUAUGAUCGAUGCCCGUGGGGUUCUUCAUCCGUGUUGAAUCUUGAUUUAUCUCACUCGUUUUUACACAAUGCUAUUCAAGCUUUCGGCGCCUUGAGAAUUAGAGUCAGCGGAUCUUUGCAAGAUCAAGUGAUAUACAAUGUUGGGAACUUGACGUCUACUUGAAAAACGUUUAAAAAGGAGAAUGGCGGAUUGUUUGGAUUUUCUAAGGGAUGCCUACGUAUGGAGCAGUGGGACCAGCUGAAUAAACUUUUCGAGGACACGGGAGUUAUUCCGACUUUUGGCCUCAAUGCUCUAUACGGGAGGCGGCGCUCUCAAAAUAAGGUAUGGGAAGGGGAAUGGGAUCCGAGCAACGCUCGUGAUUUUAUAAAAUACACUAUAUCCAAGGGAUACUGCAUUGAGUCAUGGGAAUUCGGCAACGAGUUAUCCGGGCGGGGGGUGGGUGCCAACACCGAGCAAUACGGAAAAGAUGCAGUCCGUCUCAACAAUAUGAUCAAUGAACUGUAUGCAAGUUUCCCGGCACGCCCCCGGCUCAUAGCCAGGGCUGUUCCUAAUUUUCGAAGGGCCCGGGGCAAAAUAAAAGUCUGAGGCCCUUAAAUAUAUACAUAUAUAAUAUUUUUUUUUACGUAUAAUAAAAUAUAGAUUAAAAAAAAUAAAAAUUUUAGCAUAAAUUUAGUUUCGAAACUUAGCAUAAAUUUUUCAUAUACUUUAAAAAUUGCUUAACGUCCGCUUAUAUUUUAACAAACGCUAUAUGAAACCCCCGUCAUGAAAAAAAAAAAAAAAAAGAUAAAAAACCAUAAUAUAGAUAAAAAUAAAAAAUAAAAAUCAUCUUCUCAUCACCCAAAGAAAAAACAAAAAAAAAGAGUUUCAUGUAAUAUUUUUUAAAGUAUAAAUGACCCAUACAGUAUAUAGAGAAUUUACACUGAAUUUUAAAACAACAAAGAAUUAUUGAUAUUUUGCCUAAUAAUAAUUUUGUCUAAUAUUUAUUUUCUUUUUAGUGCACAAAAAAUUUAUUUAUAAUAAAAAUAAAAGACCCCUAAAUAUAUAUAAAUGGUAUACUCCAAUUUGUUUUUUACCUAUAAUAGAAUAUAAAUUAUUAAAUAAAUAUUUUUUUAGCAUUUUUACAUAAAAUAUCAAUAAUAGUAUUAAUAUUAAUUUUGUCU
This is an RNA transcript of Andrographis paniculata, 1647 nucleotides long. It is a transcript of the gene named heparanase-like protein 2, with no coding region annotated. The transcript has 6 exons. The record is from RefSeq and is a predicted model, not a curated record. NCBI's taxonomy places the organism in Eukaryota, Viridiplantae, Streptophyta, Magnoliopsida, Lamiales, Acanthaceae.